UACGUAGGGUGCGAGCGUUGUCCGGAAUUACUGGGCGUAAAGAGCUCGUAGGUGGUUUGUCGCGUUGUCCGUGAAAACUCACAGCUCAACUGUGGGCGUGCGGGCGAUACGGGCAGACUGGAGUACUGCAGGGGAGACUGGAAUUCCUGGUGUAGCGGUGGAAUGCGCAGAUAUCAGGAGGAACACCGGUGGCGAAGGCGGGUCUCUGGGCAGUAACUGACGCUGAGGAGCGAAAGCAUGGGGAGCGAACAGG
RNAcentral lists this ribosomal RNA (253 nucleotides) under uncultured bacterium. RNAcentral's name for it is "partial 16S ribosomal RNA". It matches the Rfam family "Bacterial small subunit ribosomal RNA", at positions 524 to 776 of the family's 1533-position model. The record is from RNAcentral.